This 259-nucleotide ribosomal RNA is filed under the name uncultured bacterium. RNAcentral's name for it is "partial 16S ribosomal RNA". It matches the Rfam family "Bacterial small subunit ribosomal RNA", at positions 793 to 1055 of the family's 1533-position model. The record is from RNAcentral.
GUCCAUGCCGUAAACGUUGGCACUAGGUGUGGGACAUUCCACGUUUCCGCGCCGUAGCUAACGCAUUAAGUGCCCCGCCUGGGGAGUACGGCCGCAAGGCUAAAACUCAAAGGAAUUGACGGGGCCCGCACAAGCGGCGGAGCAUGCGGAUUAAUUCGAUGCAACGCGAAGAACCUUACCAAGGCUUGACAUGUGCCAGACCGCUUCAGAGAUGGAGUUUCCCCUUGGGGCUGGUUCACAGGUGGUGCAUGGUUGUCGU